UGACACUUGAUAUUCUGGAUUUCCCCUGAUUGUCAAUGCGAUUCCAAUGUGGGUCAAAAGAGUCAGAGUUUUUCAGGGGCCAAGGGCACUGUCUGCCGGUAUCAAAUAUUGUGAUAACUAACCCAAGACAGAUCAGAGCCUGUCGUUUCCAAAUGAAUCAUAGUGCUCAGAACAAGCAAGGAGGUGUGCAGAGCCAAGAGCCACUUCCAGCCACUGGGCUUCCUCUCAGUGAAUGGAAACACCAACCGGAUGCUUCAUAUCUAUACAUCCUGUCAACUAUCUGAUUUAUUGUUCCAUCCAUGGUUGCCAUGUUUGCCAUUUUCCUGCAAAUUGGGCUACUUUGAAAACAAUGUCAGGGGUGAAAAUGUAUUGGUCGCGGGCGGAGGGUUUUGGGAUACUUCUAAAUCGCAUUGCGGCCGCCAUGGCAUAUCUCUUAAACAAAUAUAUUUCACUGUGACCUGCUGCCGCAGACUAUCAGGCAGUGAGGAUUGAGUGAGUUGAGUGAGUGUGAGUUGAGUGAGUUGAGAGGACCAGAGGACCGGAGGGGUGUGUGUACGUGGAGAGCGCUGGUUGAGAGAGUCCGGCAGCAGAGACACGGAGACAGAGCAGCACACAAGCACGUCGUGACAACUUUUUACCAAGUCUAUUUAGACUGGUCAUUAUGGAGGCACCCUUUUUCCAUAAAUCGUUAAACACUCUAGAAGUGAUAUAACGGCGACAAAGCAUUGGAAAAUGACUUUAGGCACACGAGAGCUCUUUAGAUACAUUUGCUCAGAGGUGGUUUAAAAUACACUGCAUUCUAAUGUCUCCGCAACGCGGAGUGCCUGGACACAGCCCGUAGCUGUGGUAUAUUGGCCAUAUAUCACAAAACCCAGAGGCUAUUAUAAACGGGUUAUUAUAAACUGGUUACCAACGUAAUUAGAGCAGUAAAAAUAAAUGUUUUGUCAUACCCAUGGUAUACAGUCUGAUAUACCACGGCUGUCAGCCAAUCAGCAUUCAGGGCUCAAACCACCCAGGUUAUAUUUACAAUUAUUAACUGGGUGGUUUGAGCCC
Oncorhynchus tshawytscha (Chinook salmon) is the source of this 1053-nucleotide long non-coding RNA. Lineage: Eukaryota; Metazoa; Chordata; Actinopteri; Salmoniformes; Salmonidae. The record is from Ensembl.